RNAcentral lists this transfer RNA (75 nucleotides) under Paenibacillus xylanexedens. RNAcentral's name for it is "tRNA-Asn". It matches the Rfam family "tRNA". Rfam says of the family: Transfer RNA (tRNA) molecules are approximately 80 nucleotides in length. Lineage: Bacteria; Bacillati; Bacillota; Bacilli; Caryophanales; Paenibacillaceae. The record is from RNAcentral.
UCCGAAGUAACUCAGUGGUAGAGUAAUCCGCUGUUAACGGAGAGGUCGGGGGUUCGAAUCCCUCCUUCGGAGCCA